AUUGAACGCUGGCGGCAGGCCUAACACAUGCAAGUCGAGCGGAUGAAGGGAGCUUGCUCCUGGAUUCAGCGGCGGACGGGUGAGUAAUGCCUAGGAAUCUGCCUGGUAGUGGGGGAUAACGUCCGGAAACGGGCGCUAAUACCGCAUACGUCCUGAGGGAGAAAGUGGGGGAUCUUCGGACCUCACGCUAUCAGAUGAGCCUAGGUCGGAUUAGCUAGUUGGUGGGGUAAAGGCCUACCAAGGCGACGAUCCGUAACUGGUCUGAGAGGAUGAUCAGUCACACUGGAACUGAGACACGGUCCAGACUCCGACGGGAAGCAGCAGUGGGGAAUAUUGGACAAUGGGCGAAAGCCUGAUCCAGCCAUGCCGCGUGUGUGAAGAAGGUCUUCGGAUUGUAAAGCACUUUAAGUUGGGAGGAAGGGCAGUAAGUUAAUACCUUGCUGUUUUGACGUUACCAACAGAAUAAGCACCGGCUAACUUCGUG
This 484-nucleotide ribosomal RNA is filed under the name uncultured bacterium. RNAcentral's name for it is "partial 16S ribosomal RNA". It matches the Rfam family "Bacterial small subunit ribosomal RNA", at positions 30 to 507 of the family's 1533-position model. The record is from RNAcentral.